ACACAUGCAAGUCGAGCGGAACGAGUUAACUGAACCUUCGGGGAACGUUAACGGCGUCGAGCGGCGGACGGGUGAGUAAUGCCUAGGAAAUUGCCCUGAUGUGGGGGAUAACCAUUGGAAACGAUGGCUAAUACCGCAUAAUGCCUUCGGGCCAAAGAGGGGGACCUUCGGGCCUCUCGCGUCAGGAUAUGCCUAGGUGGGAUUAGCUAGUUGGUGAGGUAAGGGCUCACCAAGGCGACGAUCCCUAGCUGGUCUGAGAGGAUGAUCAGCCACACUGGAACUGAGACACGGUCCAGACUCCUACGGGAGGCAGCAGUGGGGAAUAUUGCACAAUGGGCGCAAGCCUGAUGCAGCCAUGCCGCGUGUAUGAAGAAGGCCUUCGGGUUGUAAAGUACUUUCAGCAGUGAGGAAGGUGGUGUAGUUAAUAACUGCAUCAUUUGACGUUAGCUGCAGAAGAAGCACCGGCUAACUCCGUGCCAGCAGCCGCGGUAAUACGGAGGGUGCGAGCGUUAAUCGGAAUUACUGGGCGUAAAGCGCAUGCAGGUGGUUUGUUAAGUCAGAUGUGAAAGCCCGGGGCUCAACCUCGGAAUUGCAUUUGAAACUGGCAGACUAGAGUACUGUAGAGGGGGGUAGAAUUUCAGGUGUAGCGGUGAAAUGCGUAGAGAUCUGAAGGAAUACCGGUGGCGAAGGCGGCCCCCUGGACAGAUACUGACACUCAGAUGCGAAAGCGUGGGGAGCAAACAGGAUUAGAUACCCUGGUAGUCCACGCCGUAAACGAUGUCUACUUGGAGGUUGUGGCCUUGAGCCGUGGCUUUCGGAGCUAACGCGUUAAGUAGACCGCCUGGGGAGUACGGUCGCAAGAUUAAAACUCAAAUGAAUUGACGGGGGCCCGCACAAGCGGUGGAGCAUGUGGUUUAAUUCGAUGCAACGCGAAGAACCUUACCUACUCUUGACAUCCAGAGAAGCCAGUAGAGAUACAGGUGUGCCUUCGGGAACUCUGAGACAGGUGCUGCAUGGCUGUCGUCAGCUCGUGUUGUGAAAUGUUGGGUUAAGUCCCGCAACGAGCGCAACCCUUAUCCUUGUUUGCCAGCGAGUAAUGUCGGGAACUCCAGGGAGACUGCCGGUGAUAAACCGGAGGAAGGUGGGGACGACGUCAAGUCAUCAUGGCCCUUACGAGUAGGGCUACACACGUGCUACAAUGGCGCAUACAGAGGGCAGCAAGCUAGCGAUAGUGAGCGAAUCCCAAAAAGUGCGUCGUAGUCCGGAUUGGAGUCUGCAACUCGACUCCAUGAAGUCGGAAUCGCUAGUAAUCGUGGAUCAGAAUGCCACGGUGAAUACGUUCCCGGGCCUUGUACACACCGCCCGUCACACCAUGGGAGUGGGCUGCAAAAGAAGUAGGUAGUUUAACUUCGGGAGAACGCUUA
Molecule: ribosomal RNA, 1424 nt
Filed under: Vibrio sp. 2967
Lineage: Bacteria; Pseudomonadati; Pseudomonadota; Gammaproteobacteria; Vibrionales; Vibrionaceae
Description: bacterial SSU rRNA
Rfam family: Bacterial small subunit ribosomal RNA
Source: RNAcentral